Molecule: ribosomal RNA, 253 nt
Filed under: uncultured bacterium
Lineage: Bacteria
Description: partial 16S ribosomal RNA
Rfam family: Bacterial small subunit ribosomal RNA
Source: RNAcentral
UACGUAGGUGGCAAGCGUUGUCCGGAUUUACUGGGCGUAAAGAGCGCGCAGGCGGUCGAGUAAGUCGAAUGUGAAAGCCCCCGGCUUAACUGGGGAGGGUCAUUCGAUACUGUUCGACUUGAAGGCAGGAGAGGGCAGCAGAAUUCCCGGUGUAGCGGUGAAAUGCGCAGAUAUCAGGAAGAACACCCGUGGCGAAGGCGGCUCUCUGGGACGGUACUGACGCUGAGACGCGAAAGCGUGGGGAGCGAACAGG